AUUUAAUAAUAAGAUACAGGUUUAAUUAUUUUGUAAUUAAUUAAAAGGGAAUCAGGUUAAAAUCCUGAACGGUCCCGCCACUGUAAUAGAAGAGUUUAAAUACAAUAUAUAGAGAAUAAAUAGUUGUACAAAUUUUAUUAGUACUUUAUUUAUCUCCAUAUAAACCACUGGGAAACUGGGAAGGUGUAUUUAAAUGAUGAAUCUUUAGUCAGGAUACCUGCCUGUAUUUUUCGCCAUGG
RNAcentral lists this non-coding RNA (239 nucleotides) under Clostridium pasteurianum. RNAcentral also lists the same sequence under 1 other name. Lineage: Bacteria; Bacillati; Bacillota; Clostridia; Eubacteriales; Clostridiaceae. The record is from RNAcentral.